This 468-nucleotide ribosomal RNA is filed under the name uncultured bacterium. Its description in RNAcentral is "bacterial SSU rRNA". It matches the Rfam family "Bacterial small subunit ribosomal RNA", at positions 329 to 794 of the family's 1533-position model. The record is from RNAcentral.
UCCCAGACUCCUACGGGAGGCAGCAGUGAGGAAUAUUGGUCAAUGGCCGAGAGGCUGAACCAGCCAAGUCGCGUGAGGGAUUAAGGCCCUAUGGGUCGUAAACCUCUUUUGUCAGGGAGCAAUGGCGUCCACGUGUGGGCGUAUGGAGAGUACCUGAAGAAAAAGCAUCGGCUAACUCCGUGCCAGCAGCCGCGGUAAUACGGAGGAUGCGAGCGUUAUCCGGAUUUAUUGGGUUUAAAGGGUGCGCAGGCGGGAGAUCAAGUCAGCGGUAAAAUGUCGGGGCUCAACCCCGGCCGGCCGUUGAAACUGGUUUUCUAGAGUUGGAGAGAAGUAUGCGGAAUUCGUGGUGUAGCGGUGAAAUGCAUAGAUAUCACGAAGAACUCCGAUUGCGAAGGCAGCAUACCGGCUCCAUACUGACGCUGAGGCACGAAAGCGUGGGGAUCGAACAGGAUUAGAUACCCCGGUAGG